This 623-nucleotide long non-coding RNA is filed under the name Cyanistes caeruleus (blue tit). Its description in RNAcentral is "lncRNA (ENSCCEG00000008159.1)". Lineage: Eukaryota; Metazoa; Chordata; Aves; Passeriformes; Paridae. The record is from RNAcentral.
CUCCCUCAGGCCGCGCCGCCAUCUUGGCGGGGCCCUGAGUGCUGCUUUUGACCCAGCCUUGGGGUGUUGAGGUGUUGGUCUGUGGCCAGGUGCUCAUGCUGUGCUGAGGAGUGGCCUCAGCUCUUGUAAGAACCGGGUUCUGGGUGCUGCAGAGGUCCCAUCACCCCUGGGUUCUGUGCAGCCCAACCACAGUCUCUGCCUCAGGAGAAACAGAAAGUGAAGAUGCCUGCAAGGGAAGUGAGAAUUCUCCCUUUGAAAAGAACAGCAGGAAGGGAACCUGGUUUUGGUACUGGUUCGAGAGGACAGCUGGGAGCUACACUGAAGGGGCAGAAACCUCUGCAGCUGCUGCUGCUGAACAUCUGGGGAUAAACCUCUUCCACCAAUGCAGUCUUCACAAGGUGAGUAUUUGUCCAGACCCCAAAUUCUUCUCUGCAGGGCUAAAGGAAGAGUCUGGUGAAAGAGAUAGGUACCUGCAAACCCCUUGGGUACUCAUUUGGUGUGGAAAGCUCUCCAUGUUAAUUUCCCAUUCUCUCCUAUCCUUUCCUGUACAGUAUAUUAGUUUAUUGGAAUACAGAAGGAAGUCUUGCUAUGAUAUGUUCUUACUUGAACCUACUGUCAGUUAA